This is a long non-coding RNA of Mauremys mutica (yellowpond turtle), 2254 nucleotides long. RefSeq lists it as uncharacterized. Lineage: Eukaryota; Metazoa; Chordata; Testudines; Geoemydidae. The record is from RefSeq and is a predicted model, not a curated record. The transcript has 4 exons.
AAGAGCAAAGAGCCAGAAUCCCCUGGGGCCCUGUAGCGGGCCGGUGUGGCUCCCCUCCUCCCCGGAGAGGGUUGAGCCCCGGACCCAGGAAGAGGCGGGGCUACAGAGUGGUGGGCCCGCCCCUCAAAGGGUCAGGCGGCGACCCGGAAGGAUAAAAGCCAGCCCAUCCAGCUCAGUCAGGCCCCAGCCACCACAGGGAGCAGACCUGCCUGAGGGAGCUCCUGACGAGAAGGCCGCUGGAGCCCCGAGCCCUUGCCCAGACUGGCCGGAGAUACCCCUGACUCGCUACUGGGAAGACCUGCCGGAGCUUCCCCACACCACCUACGAAGAGGAGCCGCUAGGAACCUCCCCAUCACCGUGCUGCUACCCCGAGGAACCCCCGGAGCAGGAUUGGCCGGACUUCCCCGAGGAGCUGCCCGAUCUACCCCCCAGCCCGGGUUGUGAGGAGCCCAUGCAGUGGGACUUCCCGGGACCUGACGCCGUGGACCAGAGAUGAACUGACGCUCUUCCGCUGCGCAGUGUUUCUCAGGUGGGCUCAUUUGAAGAUGCUGUUCCACAGCAUGGCCUGGGAUGGCUCCUCACAGCUCCUGAAGUGUGCCUGGAAGUGCUUGGCAGAUGCAGAACAACAAGAGCCACAUCCCCAAAUUCCUGUUCCAGGCCUUAGAGUACCUGGAAAGCUCACAGACAACAACCAGACAUUCUGCAGCCCUGUUCAUUGAUGCAACCUGGAGAUCCCAGCCGUCCUUGUUAUCAAUGGCCGAAAGACUACAAAGAAUCAGGAAGCAGCCACAUAGAAGCAAAGAGGACAUGCUGCAUGAAGGAAUGCAGCAGUCCCUUAAUGAAAAUCACAAAGCACAGGAGUGGUGGGAGAGUGAAAGAAGGGUCUGCCAGCAGAAUGUGGAUCGCUGGCAUCAAAGCACAGAGCGGCUGCUAAGCAUCAUGGAGCGCCAAGUAGACUCGAUACAGGUGCUCAUACCAAUGCAGCUCUCAGCUCUGGCCAGGAUCAGCCCAGGGGGAGCUACAGGGAGACCCAGGGAAGAGGAGGCCUGGAGGGAGCUGCCAACAGAAAGCAGGUCUCUGCCAGAAGGGAUCAGAGAAGGUCCCAGGCAGGAGGUACUCACAAGGCUUUGAGGCAGGAAGGAGGAGGUGAUUUAAACACAGUCCCUGACUGCAUCACGCCGGCUCCCUGGGCUGGGACCCACAGGAGAGGGUGGGCCUGGAUCCCCCUACCACGCAGGGAUGGACGUGGGUAGAGACUGCUGAGAACCCUGACCGGGAGGGGACAGGAAUAGUGGACUUUGCCUUUGUGUUCCUGCUGUAACUUACUUUAUUUCUACUCUGCUGAAGUAAGAAGGCAAGAAACCUGUACAGGGGGGAGAGCAAUGGAAAAGGGGGCAGGAGAGACCCUGGGACAAAGGCCUAAAUCUCUGGGACAAAGGCCCCACUAAAGGGGCUGGCAGCACUUUGGGUGGGGUCAGACUCCUCUCAGACCCGAAAGCAAAGAGACUAAGUCAGCUGGAGGACUGGAGUUACAAACACUGACAGAUCUAGGUUCCAUCCCUGAACCAGGUAAGGGAAACUGAGGCAGGGACAGACACAGUUCUGCUGAGCACUGCUAGGGUUCCUACAGCACUAAAGUCCCUCAGUUAUAGGUGCCUGUUGAUACACAUACAAUUAAUUGUUGUUAGUCAUUUAGACAUUUUGAAACUCCCACAAGGCAUCUACCUGCAUCUUUAGGUGCCUACCUACUCUUAAAUGGUGGCCUUACAUGACAUGACUGAGAGGGGGAGUUAGUUUCAUUCUGUCAGUUCAAACAGAUUUUAUUUCUGCUUAUUCAACUGCAAAACACCAGGGGGAAAAGAUCUGCUUGUUCCGGAUUCAGCCCCUCCAUCUUAAAUGAGAAACCUUCUGAUAUAUGUGGGGGUCCCCAACCAGCCCCAGAAGCAGCAGGGAAGACCAGGCUCUACUGCCUGGAGGCUGCUGGAGAGAAACAGACAAACAACGGAACAGUUCUUUUUUUCAGGAUGGAAAAGCUCCAGGAUCUUGGCAGGCCUCACCUGUGCCCCAAGAGCCGCAUAAUGGGGCUCAGCCCCUCAGUUAUUCUCCCCUCUUUGGAUCAGCUUCAGGAAGGGCCAGUUUAUAAAUUACUGGACAUGAGUCGUCACCUAGAGUUUUUGCCAUUUUUUUCAUUCGCACAUUUGAAAAUAAAAUCACCUCAGGUUUUGUCACAAAUACUGACAAAGAUAUCUCCAGU